UGGGGAAUAUUGGACAAUGGGCGCAAGCCUGAUCCAGCAAUGCCGCGUGUGUGAAGAAGGCCUUCGGGUUGUAAAGCACUUUUAUCAGGAGCGAAACGCUGUCGGCUAAUACCCGGCGGAACUGACGGUACCUGAGGAAUAAGCACCGGCUAACUUCGUGCCAGCAGCCGCGGUAAUACGAAGGGUGCAAGCGUUAAUCGGAAUUACUGGGCGUAAAGCGUGCGUAGGCGGUUUCUUAAGUCUGCUGUGAAAUCCCCGGGCUCAACCUGGGAAUGGCAGUGGAUACUGGGAGGCUAGAGUGUGUCAGAGGGUGGUGGAAUUCCCGGUGUAGCGGUGAAACGCGUAGAGAUCGGGAGGAGCAUCAGUGGCGAAGGCGGCCACCUGGGACAACACUGACGCUGAGGCACGAAAGCGUGGGGAGCAAACAGGAUUAGAUACCCUGGUAGUCCACGCCCUAAAGCGAUGCGAACUGGAUGUUGGUCUCAACUCGGAGAUCAGUGUCGAAGCUAACGCGUUAAGUUCGCCGCCUGGGGAGUACGGUCGCAAGACUGAAACUUAAAUG
RNAcentral lists this ribosomal RNA (562 nucleotides) under uncultured bacterium. RNAcentral describes it as "partial 16S ribosomal RNA". It matches the Rfam family "Bacterial small subunit ribosomal RNA", at positions 355 to 907 of the family's 1533-position model. The record is from RNAcentral.